Molecule: ribosomal RNA, 471 nt
Filed under: uncultured bacterium
Lineage: Bacteria
Description: SSU rRNA
Rfam family: Bacterial small subunit ribosomal RNA
Source: RNAcentral
AGGACGAACGCUGGCGGCGUGCUUAACACAUGCAAGUCGAGCGGAAAGGCCCUUCGGGGUACUCGAGCGGCGAACGGGUGAGUAACACGUGAGCAACCUGCCCUUGGCUCUGGGAUAGCCUCCGGAAACGGGGAUUAAUACCGGACAUUCACUUUCUCCUGCAUGGGGGGUUGGUGGAAAGUUUUUCGGCCAGGGAGGGGCUCGCGGCCUAUCAGCUUGUUGGCGGGGUAACGGCCCACCAAGGCGACGACGGGUAGCCGGCCUGAGAGGGCGAUCGGCCACACUGGGACUGAGACACGGCCCAGACUCCUACGGGAGGCAGCAGUGGGGAAUAUUGCACAAUGGGCGCAAGCCUGAUGCAGCGACGCCGCGUGGGGAUGAAGGCCUUCGGGUUGUAAACCCUUUCACCAGGAGCGAAUUCAGACGGUACCUGGGGAAGAAGCGCCGGCUAACUACGUGCCGAGCAGCCGC